This is a long non-coding RNA of Oxyura jamaicensis (ruddy duck), 1010 nucleotides long. RefSeq lists it as uncharacterized. The transcript is spliced from 3 exons. The record is from RefSeq and is a predicted model, not a curated record. Lineage: Eukaryota; Metazoa; Chordata; Aves; Anseriformes; Anatidae.
UAAUAGUUCUUGUUCUUGCAGAGACAAAAAACUUACAAGAAGUAGACAUUUUGAAGUCUUAUUUUUCAGGAGUUAUGUUCAGAAAGGCUCUCAGAGGCAUUAUGUAAACUCGAUACACGUUUCUAGUAAUGUACAGGUUAUGCUGUCUGUAGCAAGGAUUGCCGGACAGAACAGGAUUUGCUAGCAGAGCAAAGUGCUACAAUAAGGAAGUCAAUUCCAGCUGUUAGAUAAACAAGAAGGGAUACAGAAGCAUUUUUCAAAAAUGAAACAUUCUAUAGAUGACACAUUUAUUUUCAGAGCAGGAAAUACUUACUGCCUGAUGGUGUUCUUUCAGGCCUGCCGCUUUGCCAGAUGCGAGCUGAUUCAUGGGUGGCCGUUGUUCAUUAUACCCAUAAUUGGGAAGUGACAUUGUUUUUGGCUUAGAAACCAGAACAAUUCCACAGUGUAUCCAAUCAAACACCAGACAGUUGUUGAAGUAGCAUUUUCCCUUCAGAAAGUGAGUCCUUUUAUCACUUUUUGAUGAACUGAUGUCUCGUAUUUUAACAAGAUAUGCCAGUCUAUCUGUUUUAUUGGGAUGCACAUCGUUUUGGACAAGUGGGUGCCUUUCAAUUGUAGUUAUUUUGAAGCUGAUUAAGGGACAUGGAAACUGUGUGUCUUGCAGUGCAAUAUCCUAGGAAGAAUUUUUGAUUUUGCAAAGUAGUGCCAAAUAGUUCUGCUCACCUUACUCUCUAUUGCUUUAGGACAGAUAGUAAUUGGAGAGUUUGAAGUCUUUUCCCCAGCUAAAAGUGGACCACAGCACAUUGACAGCAAACAGUUGCCAGCCCAGGUGCUGUAGGAGACGGAGCACCUCCAGACUGUCUCUGUCCCGUAGCUGUAGCUGCCCUGACGGUGUCACCUCUAUCAGCUGAAGCAAAAGCUUGGCUGAAGGUGAGGCUGGUGAGGAAAUGCUAGUGGAGGGACAAACUUCUUUGAACAAAGGCCUCUAGACCCAAGUUAAACCCAGCAGUGGU